GACAGAGGUGCCAAGCGUUAGGCGGAAUCACUGGGCUUAAAGCGUGUGUAGGCGGAUCGUUAAGUACCUUGUGAAAUCCCACGGCUCAACCGUGGAACUGCUGGGUAUACUGGCGGUCUUGAGCCACUUAGGGGCGAGCGGAACAAACGGUGGAGCGGUGAAAUGCGUAGAUAUCGUCUGGAACGCCGAAGGUGAAAACAGCUCGCUGGGGCCGCGCUGACGCUGAGACACGAAAGCCAGGGGAGCGAACGGG
Molecule: ribosomal RNA, 253 nt
Filed under: uncultured bacterium
Lineage: Bacteria
Description: partial 16S ribosomal RNA
Rfam family: Bacterial small subunit ribosomal RNA
Source: RNAcentral